This 68-nucleotide transfer RNA is filed under the name Phrynoderma hexadactylum (Indian five-fingered frog). Its description in RNAcentral is "tRNA-Ser". The record is from RNAcentral. Lineage: Eukaryota; Metazoa; Chordata; Amphibia; Anura; Dicroglossidae.
GAGCCUGCUUGGCCGGGAUCAGUACUGCUAAUUCUUGGUUCCCAUGGUUCAAUUCCAUGGCCCGCUCA